This 987-nucleotide ribosomal RNA is filed under the name Vibrio sp. RNAcentral describes it as "bacterial SSU rRNA". It matches the Rfam family "Bacterial small subunit ribosomal RNA", at positions 59 to 1026 of the family's 1533-position model. The record is from RNAcentral. Lineage: Bacteria; Pseudomonadati; Pseudomonadota; Gammaproteobacteria; Vibrionales; Vibrionaceae.
CAGUCGAGCGGAAACGAGUUAUCUGAACCUUCGGGGGACGAUAACGGCGUCGAGCGGCGGACGGGUGAGUAAUGCCUAGGAAAUUGCCCUGAUGUGGGGGAUAACCAUUGGAAACGAUGGCUAAUACCGCAUGAUGCCUACGGGCCAAAGAGGGGGACCUUCGGGCCUCUCGCGUCAGGAUAUGCCUAGGUGGGAUUAGCUAGUUGGUGAGGUAAGGGCUCACCAAGGCGACGAUCCCUAGCUGGUCUGAGAGGAUGAUCAGCCACACUGGAACUGAGACACGGUCCAGACUCCUACGGGAGGCAGCAGUGGGGAAUAUUGCACAAUGGGCGCAAGCCUGAUGCAGCCAUGCCGCGUGUGUGAAGAAGGCCUUCGGGUUGUAAAGCACUUUCAGUCGUGAGGAAGGUAGUGUAGUUAAUAGCUGCAUUAUUUGACGUUAGCGACAGAAGAAGCACCGGCUAACUCCGUGCCAGCAGCCGCGGUAAUACGGAGGGUGCGAGCGUUAAUCGGAAUUACUGGGCGUAAAGCGCAUGCAGGUGGUUUGUUAAGUCAGAUGUGAAAGCCCGGGGCUCAACCUCGGAAUUGCAUUUGAAACUGGCAGACUAGAGUACUGUAGAGGGGGGUAGAAUUUCAGGUGUAGCGGUGAAAUGCGUAGAGAUCUGAAGGAAUACCGGUGGCGAAGGCGGCCCCCUGGACAGAUACUGACACUCAGAUGCGAAAGCGUGGGGAGCAAACAGGAUUAGAUACCCUGGUAGUCCACGCCGUAAACGAUGUCUACUUGGAGGUUGUGGCCUUGAGCCGUGGCUUUCGGAGCUAACGCGUUAAGUAGACCGCCUGGGGAGUACGGUCGCAAGAUUAAAACUCAAAUGAAUUGACGGGGGCCCGCACAAGCGGUGGAGCAUGUGGUUUAAUUCGAUGCAACGCGAAGAACCUUACCUACUCUUGACUUCCAGAGAACUUUCCAAAGAUGGAUUGGUGCCUUCGGAA